GGCGAUGCCUGGGUACAUGGUGGUGCCACCCGACAGCACCGUGUUGGCGUAGAGGUCCUUGCGGAUGUCGACGUCGCACUUCAUGAUGGAGUUGAAGGUAGUUUCGUGGAUGCCGCAGGAUUCCAUGCCCAGGAAGGAGGGCUGGAAGAGCGCCUCGGGGCAGCGGAAGCGCUCGUUGCCGAUGGUGAUGACCUGGCCGUCGGGCAGCUCGUAGCUCUUCUCCAGGGAGGAGGAGGACGCGGCAGUGGCCAUCUCCUGCUCGAAGUCCAGGGCGACGUAGCACAGCUUCUCCUUGAUGUCCCGCACGAUCUCCCGCUCGGCCGUGGUGGUGAAGCUGUAGCCCCGCUCCGUCAGGAUCUUCAUGAGGUAGUCGGUGUGGUGCCAGAUCUUCUCCAUGUCGUCCCAGUUGGUGACGAUGCCGUGCUCGAUGGGGUACUUGAGGGUCAGGAUGCCUCUCUUGCUCUGGGCCUCGUCCCCCACGUAGGAGUCCUUCUGGCCCAUGCCCACCAUCACGCCCUGGUGUCGGGGGCGCCCCACGAUGGAGGGGAAGACGGCCCGGGGAGCAUCGUCGCCCGCAAAGCCGGCCUUGCACAUGCCGGAGCCGUUGUCGACCACGAGCGCAGCAAUAUCGUCAUCCAUGGCGAACUGGUAGCGGUGUAGACCGGCGGCGAAGGCGGAGCGGCAAGGGCGAGGGGCCUGUGCUGGCGGAGUGGACGCGGUCUC
RNAcentral lists this long non-coding RNA (723 nucleotides) under Sus scrofa (pig). RNAcentral's name for it is "trans regulatory lncRNA of ACTG1". The record is from RNAcentral. Lineage: Eukaryota; Metazoa; Chordata; Mammalia; Artiodactyla; Suidae.